GAAUAUUGGUCAAUGGAGGCAACUCGGAACCAGCCAUGCCGCGUGAAGGAAGAAUGUCCUAUGGAUUGUAAACUUCUUUUAUUUGGGAAGAAACCCCACUACGUGUAGAGGGCUGACGGUACCAAAUGAAUAAGCACCGGCUAACUCCGUGCCAGCAGCCGCGGUAAUACGGAGGGUGCAAGCGUUAUCCGGAAUCAUUGGGUUUAAAGGGUUCGCAGGCGGCCUAUUAAGUCAGUGGUGAAAUCCUACAGCUCAACUGUAGAACCGCCAUUGAUACUGUUAGGUUUGAAUGUAGUUGGAGUAGGCGGAAUGUGUAGUGUAGCGGUGAAAUGCUUAGAUAUUACACAGAACACCGAUAGCGAAGGCAGCUUACUAAACUAUGAUUGACGCUCAUGAACGAAAGCGUGGGGAGCGAACAGG
Molecule: ribosomal RNA, 420 nt
Filed under: uncultured bacterium
Lineage: Bacteria
Description: bacterial SSU rRNA
Rfam family: Bacterial small subunit ribosomal RNA
Source: RNAcentral